RNAcentral lists this ribosomal RNA (428 nucleotides) under Acidobacteriota bacterium. RNAcentral describes it as "Acidobacteria bacterium partial 16S ribosomal RNA". It matches the Rfam family "Bacterial small subunit ribosomal RNA", at positions 355 to 776 of the family's 1533-position model. The record is from RNAcentral. Lineage: Bacteria; Pseudomonadati; Acidobacteriota.
UGGGGAAUUUUGGACAAUGGGGGAAACCCUGAUCCAGCCAUCCCGCGUGUGCGAUGAAGGCCUUCGGGUUGUAAAGCACUUUUGGCAGGAAAGAAACGUCAUGGGUUAAUACCCCGUGAAACUGACGGUACCUGCAGAAUAAGCACCGGCUAACUACGUGCCAGCAGCCGCGGUAAUACGUAGGGUGCAAGCGUUAAUCGGAAUUACUGGGCGUAAAGCGUGCGCAGGCGGUUCGGAAAGAAAGAUGUGAAAUCCCAGAGCUCAACUUUGGAACUGCAUUUUUAACUACCGGGCUAGAGUGUGUCAGAGGGAGGUGGAAUUCCCGUGUAGCAGUGAAAUGCGUAGAUAUGCGGAGGAACACCGAUGGCGAAGGCAGCCUCCUGGGAUAACACUGACGCUCAUUCACGAAAGCGUGGGGAGCAAACAGG